UGCCCAACACAUCAGUUAAUCCUGGAAGC
RNAcentral lists this non-coding RNA (29 nucleotides) under Mus musculus (house mouse). Lineage: Eukaryota; Metazoa; Chordata; Mammalia; Rodentia; Muridae. The record is from RNAcentral.